AGAGUUUGAUCAUGGCUCAGGAUGAACGCUAGCGGCAGGCCUAAUACAUGCAAGUCGAGGGGCAGCAGGGGUAGCAAUACUCGCUGGCGACCGGCGCACGGGUGCGUAACACGUAUACAAUCUGCCUUUAACUGGGGGAUAGCCCGGAGAAAUCCGGAUUAAUACCCCAUAAUACUUGAAAUGGCAUCAUUUUAAGUUGAAAGCUCCGGCGGUUAAAGAUGAGUAUGCGUCUGAUUAGUUAGUUGGUGAGGUAACGGCUCACCAAGACCACGAUCAGUAGGGGAUCUGAGAGGAUUAACCCCCACACGGAUACUGAGACACGGAUCCGACUCCUACGGGAGGCAGCAGUAAGGAAUAUUGGACAAUGCCCGCAAGGGUGAUCCAGCCAUGCCGCGUGCAGGAAGACGGCCCUAUGGGUUGUAAACUGCUUUUACACCGGAGAAAACCCCAGUACGUGUACUGGGCUGAUAGUAUGGUGAGAAUAAGCAUCGGCUAACUUCGUGCCAGCAGCCGCGGUAAGACGAAGGAUGCAAGCGUUAUCCGGAUUCAUUGGGUUUAAAGGGAGCGUAGGUGGCCUUAUAAGUCAGUGGUGAAAUCUCUCGGCUUAACCGAGAAAUUGCCAUUGAUACUGUAGGGCUUGAGUAUAGUUGCCGUUGGCGGAAUAUGACAUGUAGUGGUGAAAUACAUAGAGAUGUCAUAGAACACCGAUUGCGAAGGCAGCUAACGAAACUAUAACUGACACUGAGGCUCGAAAGUGCGGGGAUCAAACAGGAUUAGAUACCCUAGUAGUCC
RNAcentral lists this ribosomal RNA (792 nucleotides) under uncultured bacterium. RNAcentral describes it as "bacterial SSU rRNA". It matches the Rfam family "Bacterial small subunit ribosomal RNA", at positions 8 to 796 of the family's 1533-position model. The record is from RNAcentral.